GCGAAUCGCCCUUGUGGGUGCCCGCGGCUUCAUUUCUUUGUCAUGCGGGAAACCGUGAUCCGGGAGCUCUGAGUGCCCGUUAAAUCGGGCUGUCCUUCGGUUUAAAUAACCGGUGAAGAAAGGGACGGGCAAUACCUGUGCCAUCCGCCUCGGUAAUACCGGCAGCUCGAGUGGUGCCCACUAUUACUGGGCUUAAAGCGUACGUAGCUGGUUUGUUAAGUCUCUGGGGAAAUCUUCCGGCUUAGCCGGAAGGCAUCUCACGGAUACUGGUAGACUACGGACCGGGACAGGUGACAGGUACUCCUGGGGUAUGAGUGAAAUCCUGUAAUCCUUGGGGGACCACCUGUGGCAAAGGUGUCUCACCAGAACGGCUCCGACUUUGAGGGACUAAAGCUGGGGAAGCAAACCGGAUUAGAUACCCGGGUAGUCCCAGAUGUAAAAGAUGCCCGUUACGUGUUUCGGUGACCUCUAGUCACCGAGGUGCCAAAUACAAAUCGUGAAUCGUGCCGACUGGGAAUUACGGGCUCAAGGCUGAAACUUAAAGGAAUUGCCGGGGGAGCAC
This 562-nucleotide ribosomal RNA is filed under the name uncultured archaeon. RNAcentral's name for it is "bacterial SSU rRNA". It matches the Rfam family "Archaeal small subunit ribosomal RNA", at positions 313 to 879 of the family's 1478-position model. The record is from RNAcentral.